Molecule: ribosomal RNA, 404 nt
Filed under: Verrucomicrobiota bacterium
Lineage: Bacteria; Pseudomonadati; Verrucomicrobiota
Description: Verrucomicrobia bacterium partial 16S ribosomal RNA
Rfam family: Bacterial small subunit ribosomal RNA
Source: RNAcentral
UGGGGAAUAUUGGACAAUGGGCGCAAGCCUGAUCCAGCCAUGCCGCGUGAGUGAUGAAGGCCCUAGGGUUGUAAAGCUCUUUCACCGGUGAAGAUAAUGACGGUAACCGGAGAAGAAGCCCCGGCUAACUUCGUGCCAGCAGCCGCGGUAAUACGAAGGGGGCUAGCGUUGUUCGGAUUUACUGGGCGUAAAGCGCACGUAGGCGGACUAUUAAGUCAGGGGUGAAAUCCCGGGGCUCGACCCCGGAACUGCCUUUGAUACUGGGAGUCUUGAGUAUGGUAGAGGUGAGUGGAAAUCCGAGUGUAGAGGUGAAAUUCGUUGAUAUUCGGGGGAACACCAGUGGCGAAGGCGGCUCACUGGACCAUUACUGACGCUGAGGUGCGAAAGCGUGGGGAGCAAACAGG